This 1287-nucleotide ribosomal RNA is filed under the name metagenome. RNAcentral's name for it is "bacterial SSU rRNA". It matches the Rfam family "Bacterial small subunit ribosomal RNA", at positions 242 to 1520 of the family's 1533-position model. The record is from RNAcentral.
UAGCUAGUUGGUGAGGUAAAGGCUUACCAAGGCGACGAUCUGUAGCGGGUCUGAGAGGAUGAUCCGCCACACUGGAACUGAGACACGGUCCAGACUCCUACGGGAGGCAGCAGUGGGGAAUUUUGGACAAUGGGGGCAACCCUGAUCCAGCCAUGCCGCGUGAGUGAAGAAGGCCUUCGGGUUGUAAAGCUCUUUCGGCCGGGAAGAAAUCGCAUGGGCCAAUACCCUGUGUGGAUGACGGUACCGGAAUAAGAAGCACCGGCUAACUACGUGCCAGCAGCCGCGGUAAUACGUAGGGUGCGAGCGUUAAUCGGAAUUACUGGGCGUAAAGCGUGCGCAGGCGGUUUUGUAAGACAGGCGUGAAAUCCCCGGGCUUAACCUGGGAACUGCGUUUGUGACUGCAAGGCUAGAGUACGGCAGAGGGGGGUGGAAUUCCACGUGUAGCAGUGAAAUGCGUAGAGAUGUGGAGGAACACCAAUGGCGAAGGCAGCCCCCUGGGUCGAUACUGACGCUCAUGCACGAAAGCGUGGGUAGCAAACAGGAUUAGAUACCCUGGUAGUCCACGCCCUAAACUAUGUCAACUAGGUGUUGGGUGGGUAAAACCAUUUAGUACCGUAGCUAACGCGUGAAGUUGACCGCCUGGGGAGUACGGCCGCAAGGUUAAAACUCAAAGGAAUUGACGGGGACCCGCACAAGCGGUGGAUGAUGUGGAUUAAUUCGAUGCAACGCGAAAAACCUUACCUACCCUUGACAUGCCAGGAACUUGCCAGAGAUGGCUUGGUGCCCGAAAGGGAGCCUGGACACAGGUGCUGCAUGGCUGUCGUCAGCUCGUGUCGUGAGAUGUUGGGUUAAGUCCCGCAACGAGCGCAACCCUUGUCGUUAAUUGCCAUCAUUUGGUUGGGCACUUUAACGAGACUGCCGGUGACAAACCGGAGGAAGGUGGGGAUGACGUCAAGUCCUCAUGGCCCUUAUGGGUAGGGCUUCACACGUCAUACAAUGGUCGGUACUAAGGGUUGCCAAGCCGCGAGGCGGAGCCAAUCCCAGAAAGCCGAUCGUAGUCCGGAUUGCAGGCUGCAACUCGCCUGCAUGAAGUCGGAAUCGCUAGUAAUCGUGGAUCAGCAUGUCACGGUGAAUACGUUCCCGGGUCUUGUACACACCGCCCGUCACACCAUGGGAGCGGGUUCCGCCAGAAGUAGGUAGCCUAACCGCAAGGGGGGCGCUUACCACGGCGGGGUUCGUGACUGGGGUGAAGUCGUAACAAGGUAGCCGUAGGGGAACCUGCGGCUG